This 254-nucleotide ribosomal RNA is filed under the name uncultured bacterium. RNAcentral's name for it is "partial 16S ribosomal RNA". It matches the Rfam family "Bacterial small subunit ribosomal RNA", at positions 524 to 776 of the family's 1533-position model. The record is from RNAcentral.
UACGUAGGGUCCGAGCGUUGUCCGGAAUUAUUGGGCGUAAAGAGCUCGUAGGCGGCUUGUUGCGUCGACUGUGAAAGCCCGUGGCUUAACCGCGUGGUCUGCAGUCGAUACGGGCAGGCUAGAGUUCGGUAGGGGAGACUGGAAUUCCUGGUGUAGCGGUGAAAUGCGCAGAUAUCAGGAGGAACACCGGUGGCGAAGGCGGGUCUCUGGGCCGAUACUGACGCUGAGGAGCGAAAGCGUGGGGAGCGAACAGG